This is a non-coding RNA of Triticum urartu, 1876 nucleotides long. The record is from RefSeq and is a predicted model, not a curated record. Lineage: Eukaryota; Viridiplantae; Streptophyta; Magnoliopsida; Poales; Poaceae.
CUCGCCUAUCCCCAAUUCAGGCCGCAUAGUCGCCCGCCGCGGGAUGGCCCCGUCGAUGCUGCUCCGCCCCAACCAUCGUCGAUGGCCCCGUCGAUGCUGCUUAGCCACGCCCUCUUCAUCCUCCUCCCCCAUCGUCCUCCAAUGCCCCCAGCUCCCCUCGAUGCAUCGCAGACCACCUGCUCCUCCCGAUGCACUGGCCGCGUGCGGCCACAUCUCGCCCGGCUGUCCACUCGCACGUCUCCUACCUCAGGGUCCGGCAAGUGGCGCCGGCAGCCACGGCGGACUGCCAUGGGUGCGGCCAAUCUGAGCUCCUGUUGGUAGGUUAGUCCAAAAAGAAAAAAGAAUCCACACACUACACGACCCCGUCCUCCAAUACGCCACCUUCUCCCAGCCAUCUAGCACCGCCACCCGCUUCAGCUCCUGCUCAUCGAUCGCCGCCGUGCGGAGCCACCUUCCCAGUGCGCCGCUCCGCCUGCCUACACCUAUAGGCUUUCAACCACCGCCACGCGCCACUUCGCCUCCCCUUGCCCAUCGUCUCCUACACAAUCGCCUCGAAUGGCAGGAGCGGCCUCUCAUCUCUCUCUCCCUCUCUCUCGCUCUGUAAUGAUGGUCACGGCUGAUGCUACUUCUCCUCUCCAUCAGGAUCUCUAUGUCUCUUCCUGUCUCUCUGUGUCUCUCUCAUGGAUUGGAAACUGCAUUCUUCCAAAUAAAUGUGUGCCUCUGUUCUUGAUAUGCCACCCACCACAUGUUUGAUGUUAUGCUUAUGAGGAAUUGAUCUUUAUUUUUUCAGGUUUUUCUUUGGUGUAUUAGGCAGCCUGGUGUAAUUUGUUUCAAAAGUGAACAUGGUGUACAGUCCAAUGUAUCUAGGAAAAUUAAGUUAUGAAGAGUUGUUCAUGAUGUUGCUUGCAUAUUUUUUGUCUAACAAACUAGAUACUUAAAUGGAUAUAAACAUUGAGUAGGUGCUGAAAUAUUUCACUAAUAAUAGUUUCCAACUUGCUUUUUAGCAGAACUACAAAACUAUUUGCAACUUUUAAUUAUGUGUACUUAAAAUGGAUUUGUUGUCCAGGGCAUGUGGAUUUGAGAUCAAGUUGAAUUAUGUGCUGAUGUUAUUAUGUUUUUUGUGUGGAGAAAUUUAGGGGAUUUAGUCCAGACCCUCCACUGGCUCAAGACCCAGUGGCUCUCUGCUCCUCAACGCCCCACAUGGAGCGCCCAAUCCAGGAAAACAGACCCGUCGCACUGCCGCUCCCCAUCUCCCUGCGUCGUCCGGAGAUGGUCCGGCUGGGCGCCACCCCGGCGACCGAGUGUGUGCUGUCCAUGGAAGCCAGCUCCUCCACCCAUACCCUUCUCUACAAGGACGGCGAGGACACUGCUUCAUCAGAACUGAUCCAAACGACCACGCGCAAUCCAAGUGGGAGAAAACCAGAUGAUCGAGAAAGAAGAAUUGCUACACCGGAACCUGGGCCAUGCAUGCGGUGAUUGAUAUUUUAGUUGCACGGUUGUUUCCAUGCUGUUCAUCUGAGGAAGGGGAGAACAUAUCCAGUGCACCGGCUCCACUGAUGCAACGGAUGCACCGAGAGAAUCUGGACCACGGGAUAGAGAGCACACGGGCUGGAUGUUAGCAGUAGGUGCCAGCUGGUACAUUUUGCAUAAUGAACCUUGUAAAGUUAUUCAACUGCGCAUGUAGUCCCUCCAAGAUUCUUCCAUAGUCUCCUUCCGUUUGCUCUGUUCCACUCUGUACCUCUGAGGCUAUCUGCAAGCUACGGUUAGGGACCGAUCGACUCAUUUUUUAGGUGAAUAGAAAGAGUGUUCAUAAGUUAUGUAAAUGCACAGCUGCCUUUUCUCUUUUUUUUGCAAAGGAUGCUUUAGCUUAUUGUUA